UCAAGAUAAAAUGAGUAAAUUUAUGUCCAAAGAACAUCGGAGACGGUGAAGGCGUAGAAUAGAAGUCCGGUGAGCAGAAAUAGCAACUGAAGCAAAACUCCUCACCGUAACAACUUCACUGCCUCUGCUUAGAAGAAAUAAAGAAUCACUUUAGACGGGACUGACGUCACUGCUCCGGCUAUACAAAACGUAGAUAAUUUCUGCUGCUAAAGAGACGAACUGUGAGUGGUGUACAAAUUUUGUUUGUUUUGGAUGUACAAAAAAAUAGUAGUGAAUAAAAAUGGAGGGGAAUGAAUGAUAGAAUAGGGCAUGGGGAGUGUUGAAUUGGGCAGACUAAAUUGGUAAGAGUACUAGAGCUGUUGGUUUGGAUAGAUUAGUGAAUGUAAAACUCUUCUUCAAAGUGAGAUUUGGAUAGCUUGAAAAUAAAUGAUAGAAUUGAAAUUAUUAAAGUACUAUGGUAUUCAAAUUGGUACUAUGGAAUGGGGAGGGUACUAUGGUAUUCAAAUUGGUAAGAGUACUAGAGCUGUUGGUUUGGAUAGAUUAGUGAAUGUAAAACUCUUCUUCAAAGUGAGAUUUGGAUUAGAUUUCAUGAUCUUAGCUUGAAAAUAUAUGAUAGAAUAGGGCAUGGGGAGUGUUGAAUUGAAAUUAUUAAAGUCUUGAUGCCCAUCUUCAAGGUACAGUGUAGGGAACUUGAAGUUUCCUGCUCCUUGUAAUUCAUUCAUCUUGUACCUGCUAUUGUGAUUCAAGGAUAUCAAUUCCACAAGCUACACUUGCUGCGGAUGAAGUGAGAGCUCUCCGUGAAAUAGCUGGACAGCUGA
Molecule: long non-coding RNA, 818 nt
Organism: Mercurialis annua (annual mercury)
Lineage: Eukaryota; Viridiplantae; Streptophyta; Magnoliopsida; Malpighiales; Euphorbiaceae
Exons: 3
Source: RefSeq, a predicted model, not a curated record